UGGCGAGUGGCGAACGGGUGAGUAAUGCAUCGGAACGUGCCUUUUAGUGGGGGAUAACGUAGCGAAAGUUACGCUAAUACCGCAUAUUCUCUGAGGAGGAAAGCAGGGGACCUUCGGGCCUUGCGCUAGAAGAGCGGCCGAUGUCGGAUUAGCUAGUUGGUGAGGUAAAGGCUCACCAAGGCAACGAUCCGUAGCGGGUCUGAGAGGAUGAUCCGCCACACUGGGACUGAGACACGGCCCAG
RNAcentral lists this ribosomal RNA (242 nucleotides) under uncultured bacterium. RNAcentral describes it as "partial 16S ribosomal RNA". It matches the Rfam family "Bacterial small subunit ribosomal RNA", at positions 89 to 334 of the family's 1533-position model. The record is from RNAcentral.